CCAUGCCGAAGACAGUAGGUGUCGAAAGACGUAAGUUUAAUCGCCUACCGAGGAGAAAAGUUUUGGAUUAAAUUUUGCUCUCUCGCUUUGUCGGCGGGAGAUUUUUUAUUCA
This 112-nucleotide small RNA is filed under the name bovine gut metagenome. RNAcentral's name for it is "Ribosomal protein L10 leader". It matches the Rfam family "Ribosomal protein L10 leader", at positions 16 to 134 of the family's 138-position model. From Rfam's summary of the family: This family is a putative r-protein leader autoregulatory structure found in B. subtilis and other low-GC Gram-positive bacteria. The record is from RNAcentral. RNAcentral also lists the same sequence under 1 other name.